UACGUAGGGUGCAAGCGUUGUCCGGAAUUAUUGGGCGUAAAGGGUGCGUAGGCGGCGCGGUAAGUCGGGUGUGAAAUCUCGGAGCUUAACUCCGAAACUGCAUUCGAUACUGCCGUGCUUGAGGACUGGAGAGGAGACUGGAAUUUACGGUGUAGCGGUGAAAUGCGUAGAUAUCAGGAGGAACACCGGUGGCGAAGGCGGGUCUCUGGGCCGAUAUUGACGCUGAGGAGCGAAAGCGUGGGGAGCAAACAGG
RNAcentral lists this ribosomal RNA (253 nucleotides) under uncultured bacterium. RNAcentral describes it as "partial 16S ribosomal RNA". It matches the Rfam family "Bacterial small subunit ribosomal RNA", at positions 524 to 776 of the family's 1533-position model. The record is from RNAcentral.